RNAcentral lists this ribosomal RNA (459 nucleotides) under uncultured bacterium. RNAcentral describes it as "partial 16S ribosomal RNA". It matches the Rfam family "Bacterial small subunit ribosomal RNA", at positions 338 to 795 of the family's 1533-position model. The record is from RNAcentral.
CCUACGGGAGGCAGCAGUGAGGAAUAUUGGUCAAUGUGCGCGAGCCUGAACCAGUCAAGUCGCGUGAGGGAAGACGGUCCUAUGGAUUGUAAACCUCUUUUGUCGGGGAGCAAAAGACGCCACGCGUGGCGUUCCGAGAGUACCCGAAGAAAAAGCAUCGGCUAACUCCGUGCCAGCAGCCGCGGUAAUACGGAGGAUGCGAGCGUUAUCCGGAUUUAUUGGGUUUAAAGGGUGCGCAGGCGGAAGAUCAAGUCAGCGGUAAAAUUGAGAGGCUCAACCUCUUCGAGCCGUUGAAACUGGUGUUCUUGAGUGAGUGAGAAGUAUGCGGAAUGCGUGGUGUAGCGGUGAAAUGCAUAGAUAUCACGCAGAACUCCGAUUGCGAAGGCAGCAUACCGGCGCUCAACUGACGCUCAUGCACGAAAGUGUGGGUAUCGAACAGGAUUAGAUACCCUUGUAGUC